CUGACGAGCGGCGGACGGGUGAGUAAUGUAUGGGGAUCUGCCCGAUAGAGGGGGAUAACUACUGGAAACGGUGGCUAAUACCGCAUAAGCGCACAGUACCGCAUGGUACGGUGUGAAAAACUCCGGUGGUAUGAGAUGGACCCGCGUUUGAUUAGGUAGUUGGUGGGGUAACGGCCUACCAAGCCGACGAUCAGUAGCCGACCUGAGAGGGUGACCGGCCACAUUGGGACUGAGACACGACCCAA
Molecule: ribosomal RNA, 245 nt
Filed under: uncultured bacterium
Lineage: Bacteria
Description: partial 16S ribosomal RNA
Rfam family: Bacterial small subunit ribosomal RNA
Source: RNAcentral